Regulatory RNA element from Planomicrobium sp., 107 nucleotides. It matches the Rfam family "PyrR binding site". Rfam says of the family: This family represents the PyrR binding site and terminator structure. The record is from Rfam. NCBI's taxonomy places the organism in Bacteria, Bacillati, Bacillota, Bacilli, Caryophanales, Caryophanaceae.
AUCACCUUUUAAUGAAUGUCCAGAGAGGCAUGGAAAGGUUUGGAUCAUGGGCUUGCUAUGCCCUUAUUUCCUCACACCUUCCUGCCCCUUGGAAGGUGUUUUUUUAU